Molecule: ribosomal RNA, 506 nt
Filed under: uncultured bacterium
Lineage: Bacteria
Description: bacterial SSU rRNA
Rfam family: Bacterial small subunit ribosomal RNA
Source: RNAcentral
AGGUAAUAGAUACCCUGGUAGUCCACGCUGUAAACGAUCAAUACUAGGUGUGCGGGGACUGACCCCCUGCGUGCCGGAGUUAAACACAAUAAGUAUUGCACCUGGGGAGGUACGAUCGCAAGGUUGAAACUCAAAGGAAUCGACGGGGGCCCGGCACAAGCGGUGGAUUAUGUGGUUUAAAUUCGAAGCAACGCGAAGAACCUUACCAGGGCUUGACAUCCUACUAAUGAAGCAGAGAUGCAUUAAGUGCCCUUCGGGGAAAGGUAGAGACAGGUGGUGCAUGGUUGUCGUCAGCUCGUGUCGUGAGAUGUUGGGUUAAGUCCCGCAACGAGCGCAACCCCUAUUGUUAGUUGCUACGCAAGAGCACUCUAGCGAGACUGCCGUUGACAAAACGGAGGAAGGUGGGGACGACGUCAAAUCAUCAUGCCCCUUAUGUCCUGGGCCACACACGUAAUACAAUGGCGUUAAACAGAGGGAUGCUAAGCCGUGAGGUGGAGCGAACCCCU